Molecule: ribosomal RNA, 379 nt
Filed under: Loxocemus bicolor (Mexican python)
Lineage: Eukaryota; Metazoa; Chordata; Lepidosauria; Squamata; Loxocemidae
Description: partial 16S ribosomal RNA
Rfam family: Bacterial large subunit ribosomal RNA
Source: RNAcentral
UAUGAGANUNGAACNNUCUCUUGUAAUAAGUCAAUUAAACUGAUNUUNUAGUACAAAAGCUAGAAUAAAGAUAUAAGACCAGAAGACCCUGUGAAGNUUAAACUACUCUAUUUAAACCUAUUAAUAGAUACUUUCAGUUGGGGCGACUUUGGAACAAAAAAAAACUUCCAAAUACUACGAACUAUAACUCGUAUUAAAGGUUAACAAACCACUAUAAGACCCAGUAUUACUGAUUAUUGAACCAAGUUACUCCAGGGAUAACAGCGCCAUCUUCUUCAAGAGCCCAUAUCAAAAAGAAGGUUUACGACCUCGAUGUUGGAUCAGGACACCCAAAUGGUGCAGACGCUAUUAAAGGUUCGUUUGUUCAACGAUUAAUAGU